UUGGUCAUUUAGAGGAAGUAAAAGUCGUAACAAGGUCUCCGUUGGUGAACCAGCGGAGGGAUCAUUACCGAGUUUACAACUCCCAAACCCCUGUGAACAUACCUAUACGUUGCCUCGGCGGAUCAGCCCGCGCCCCGUAAAACGGGACGGCCCGCCGCAGGACCCAUAAACCCUGAAUUUUUAUUGUAACUUCUGAGUUUAAAAAACAAAUAAAUCAAAACUUUCAACAACGGAUCUCUUGGUUCUGGCAUCGAUGAAGAACGCAGCAAAAUGCGAUAAGUAAUGUGAAUUGCAGAAUUCAGUGAAUCAUCGAAUCUUUGAACGCACAUUGCGCCCGCCAGUAUUCUGGCGGGCAUGCCUGUUCGAGCGUCAUUUCAACCCUCAAGCCCCCGGGUUUGGUGUUGGGGAUCGGGCUGCGGUUCUGCCGCGUCCCGGCCCCGAAAUCUAGUGGCGGUCUCGCUGCAGCCUCCAUUGCGUAGUAGCUAACACCUCGCAACUGGAACGCGGCGCGGCCAAGCCGUUAAACCCCCAACUUCUGAAUGUGACCUCGGGAUCAGGUAGGAAUACCCGCUGAACUUAAGCAUAUCAAUAAGCGGAGGAA
Molecule: ribosomal RNA, 601 nt
Filed under: Fusarium sp. GF9C4
Lineage: Eukaryota; Fungi; Ascomycota; Sordariomycetes; Hypocreales; Nectriaceae
Description: eukaryotic LSU rRNA
Rfam family: 5.8S ribosomal RNA (bases 219-372)
Source: RNAcentral